RNAcentral lists this unclassified non-coding RNA (226 nucleotides) under Hevea brasiliensis (rubber tree). The record is from RNAcentral. Lineage: Eukaryota; Viridiplantae; Streptophyta; Magnoliopsida; Malpighiales; Euphorbiaceae.
UUUUGGAGGCACAAACUUCCUAGCUCUUAAAGCUGUUCUAGAUAUGUAUCAAUUCAAUUAAUGUUUGAAAGCUCCCUGAAGACUCUAAUGGUCGACCUGGCUGUAAAACCCCAUCCAGAAAUUUUAGGGUUUUCUGGGGAUCCAUUUGGUGAUAUUUAAUUUGACAUAUACUGUCCACAAAACGAAAUGUAAAGGAAACUUACAGGAAGCCCACUUCUGUUGAAGG